AGUGAAGGAAGCGGCGUGUUUUUAUCCCUGCCUGUAAGGACUGGGUAACCCGUGGAACCUCCUUCGUGAUUGGGAUAGGGGCUUGCAAUUGCUCUUCUUGAAC
This 103-nucleotide ribosomal RNA is filed under the name Ixodes scapularis (black-legged tick). RNAcentral describes it as "eukaryotic small subunit ribosomal RNA". The record is from RNAcentral. Lineage: Eukaryota; Metazoa; Arthropoda; Arachnida; Ixodida; Ixodidae.